Molecule: long non-coding RNA, 229 nt
Filed under: Phaseolus vulgaris (common bean)
Lineage: Eukaryota; Viridiplantae; Streptophyta; Magnoliopsida; Fabales; Fabaceae
Description: long non-coding RNA (PVUL_LNC000239)
Source: RNAcentral
GGUUGUCCCUGAAGGAAUUCCCUCCCCGGGGCGAUGCCGCUGGUAGGAUGGGAACCCUCGCAGCCUUCCUCCUCUUGAAGGGUGCCACGCCAUCAGAGUCCUCAUCAUCGGAUAUGAUCUCCAAAACCCGUUUUCCUUUGUCAAGGGGGGUUGGAGCCGGUGACGAAGCCACAGCCAGGGGAACGGCGGCGAUGGGCAAAGGAGAGUCGGGUGUUUGAAGCGCCUGGGG